Molecule: transfer RNA, 64 nt
Filed under: Cavia porcellus (domestic guinea pig)
Lineage: Eukaryota; Metazoa; Chordata; Mammalia; Rodentia; Caviidae
Rfam family: tRNA
About the family: Transfer RNA (tRNA) molecules are approximately 80 nucleotides in length.
Source: Rfam by way of RNAcentral
GGGGAUUUAGCUCAGUGGCAUAAGCGCCUGCCUUACAAGCAGGCUGUGGUGAGUUCAACCCCCG